This 253-nucleotide ribosomal RNA is filed under the name uncultured bacterium. RNAcentral's name for it is "partial 16S ribosomal RNA". It matches the Rfam family "Bacterial small subunit ribosomal RNA", at positions 524 to 776 of the family's 1533-position model. The record is from RNAcentral.
UACGUAGGGGGCAAGCGUUGUCCGGAAUCAUUGGGCGUAAAGCGCGUGUAGGCGGCCCGAUAAGUCCGCCGUGAAAGUCCAGGGCUCAACCCUGGGAUGCCGGUGGAAACUGUCGGGCUAGAGUCCGGAAGAGGCGAGUGGAAUUCCUGGUGUAGCGGUGAAAUGCGCAGAUAUCAGGAGGAACACCAAUGGCGAAGGCAGCUCGCUGGAACGGUACUGACGCUGAGGCGCGAAAGCGUGGGGAGCAAACAGG